Long non-coding RNA from Homo sapiens (human), 544 nucleotides. The record is from Ensembl. Lineage: Eukaryota; Metazoa; Chordata; Mammalia; Primates; Hominidae.
GUGGGCGGGGCCUCUGGAGAGCUCCCGGGGGCUCUCUUCUGUUCUGCAGCGAGUAGGCGUGGCUCGUAGCUCCCAGGUCCGGGCUGAUACCGCUGGAGUAUGCAGUUCGCCGCCGCGCCCGAAUGAGGCGGGGCCUGCGACCCACAUCCAGUCUCUCAGCAAAUCCUGUUGGCUUCACUUUCAAAAGAGAUCCAGAAUCUGACCACUCCUGGACACCUUCUUUGCCACCCACCCCCGGCCCAGGUGGCUAGCAACGCCAAUCUAGAUUUCCCCAACAGCCUCUCCCGUGGUGUCUCUCUUGCCCUCUCCAUCCUGCCAGAGGGAUCCUUUCAAAAUCCAAGUCAGAUCUGAUCACUUCUCCAUUCAGAACCCUCUGAGCCCCCCAUCUCGCUUAGAGGAAGGGCCACAGUCCUUGCCAUGGCCUCCUGGUCUAUGUCAUCUGCCUCCAAACUCUGGCCUCAUUGCUGUUCCUUAAAUGCUCCAGACACUCUGCCUCACAGCCUUGGUCUUGGCUGUUCCUGCUGCCUGGAAUGCUCUUCCUCCA